AGGCAGUGUAGUUAGCUGAUUGGUAACCGUUAACUAGCAAUCACUAACCACACAGCCAGG
This 60-nucleotide microRNA precursor is filed under the name Callorhinchus milii (elephant shark). Its description in RNAcentral is "Cmi-Mir-34-P2b_pre stem-loop". Lineage: Eukaryota; Metazoa; Chordata; Chondrichthyes; Chimaeriformes; Callorhinchidae. The record is from RNAcentral.